GGAGUUUUCUCUUUUUCGUGCUAUAUAUGCAAAAAAUGAAGCUAAAACUAAACUAAUUAAACCGAUUAGAAAAAGAAAGCAUUGAAAGAACUAGAAGCAAUACUAUCUUUAAAAUCAGAGAGAAAGGUUUUGACUUUUAAAUUAUCUCGAUAAGCAAAACAAAGUUUCAAGAGUUUCUAGGCCGCGAAGUUUCAAAAAAUGCCGUUCUAUAUACCGCAUGCAGUAGGAGAUUUCCAGGAAUGGCUGUGGUUCAAAAUUAGCUGGGAAAGUUACAUGGGUCCUAUGGCAAUUCUGGUCAUUCUAUUCAAUCUGUAUUUUGUCCUGACUGUUUGGAAAGUGGAGGAACUGCAUACGCACGACUAUGUUCUAAUAACCAUUCAGUGUGCAAUGGAUCUAAUUUUUACUGGCGUGUUUGGACUGCUCCAUUACCUGUUGGAACUUUGGAGUGGGGUAGUUUCCUUUUGCAUAGAAGGCAACUUUUUGGGGAAUACUUAUAAAGAUUUAUCCCAAGAUUAUCCCGGAUGGAACUCAUUUUGUCGCAGCCAACUCAUGAAACCGGAAG
This is a long non-coding RNA of Symsagittifera roscoffensis, 562 nucleotides long. RefSeq lists it as uncharacterized. The record is from RefSeq and is a predicted model, not a curated record. The transcript is spliced from 3 exons. NCBI's taxonomy places the organism in Eukaryota, Metazoa, Xenacoelomorpha, Acoela, Convolutidae.